Molecule: long non-coding RNA, 3081 nt
Organism: Papio anubis (olive baboon)
Lineage: Eukaryota; Metazoa; Chordata; Mammalia; Primates; Cercopithecidae
Source: Ensembl
CAGAAUGUAUGUGAAAAUUCUCAUACUCACCCUACAAAACCCCUUGAAGUUCCCAAGGCUCUGUGACUGCUCAGCCUCACUGACCUUUGUUUUCUCUGAACUGUGAACAUAUAAACCUUCAAAAGCCCAAUUUCCCAUUGAGAAAAACCAGGCAGUCAUGGGGUAAGAGAAUAAAUCUUCAAAAGCUGAAUCUUUACCUACUGAUAACAUAAAACUCUGUUUUCUAGGCUGGGGAAAAAGCUGGACCAAUAGCUAUUUCGAAUGUUGCAUAAAUCCAACGAUAAUAAUUUUUGCUCAUCUGCCAUGUGAUCUGUCUUUUGUGCUCUGUUGAAAGACAUCAGAUGAUGAAGUGGACCCUGGCAAGGGCAGCCUGCCCUUUUUAAAGGCAAGUUUAAAGACUUUCAGUGUCUGCCUCUGUGACCUGGAGCUGGUCACCAUUAAGAAAGGAAGAGAGUUAUCAGUGGGAAGUGUUCAUUCUGUUCUCUGCAACAACUCCAGAGCGGCACCAUGUGAUAAGCCAGAUGGGGACUAUGUACAUAUGCCCACAAUAACGGAACUUUGUGAUGAGGACAAGCAGGCUAACAUACAAGGAAACCGAUGCAUGCAGAGAUUAAAUACCUUGCUCAAGAUCUCAAAGACAGUAAGUGAUAUAGUUACAAAUACAAUCCAGGUUUUCUCAAGCCCAUUCCAGUCUUCUCUGCUCUGCCCUGCUCUACCCCACCUCAUUGUCACCACUCGCUGUUGAUGUCUAUUUUAAAUUGCCCUUGACUAAUUCUCUGAACAAUUUUCUGUGCCGAUAUUUUUUCUUUUGUUUUUUUUUCCCCCGAAAUGUUUUACAAUCUCACUAAGCAACAUACCAUGUGAUUCAGAAGGUCUUAUCUUCAUAAGCUCAUGUAAUGUGGCUACCAGUAUUUGCCGAUCAGUUCCUUUGCUUUCCAUAUCACUAAUGAUAGCUUUGCAUACCUCUUUCUUCCAGCAGCAGGAACAAAAGAGAAACCUGGUCAUUGCACCAGGGUAAGCAGUGUGAUAUGCAGAGAAGUCUGAGAGUGAAGAGACCUGAAUUAUUGUGUUGAUUCUGCCAUUACUUUGACAUGAAAUGUUGGACAAGGCAGUAUGCUGCCACAGGCCUUAGUUUUCUACUCUACAGGGAUUGUAAUGCUUUUUUUGACCUCAGAGGGUUGAGGUUAGCACAAAAUACAUGCAGGAUUUGAAAAUACUUAAACUCUAUAUUAAUGUAAAUAUUACCAAGUCUUUUUAGAAUCCUUGCUAGCACUAAGUGUGUGUGUGUGUGUGUGUAUGUGUGUGUGUGUGGUGGAAACUGGGUGUGAGUAAAGAAACUUCUCAAUGGCUGUCCUGGAUCAAACAUAUUUGAUUUAUAUUUCUAUGUGUCUGUGAGCACACACAUUAUAAUUCUGUGCCUGUGGGAUGGAGAGUGUAGAUGAGAAUGAAGAAGGAUGUAAGAUACUACCUUACAUUUCAGGGACUUGAUACAUUUGUAAUGUAUACAUAGACUCAAUUUUCCAAGGACUACUAUCUACCCAGUUAUGUAUAUUCUGGGCACAAAACCAGAUAGGAUUUCUCCAUUUCUGGUAUCUGCAGAAGAACAGAAAUAUCUAGAUUUAUAGUUGCUAUGGUUUGAAUGUCCUCUCAUAAAUUCAUGUUGAAAUCUAAUCGCCAUUGUGAUGGUAUUAAGAGAUGGGACCAUUAAGAGAUGGUUAGACCAUGAGGUCCCAUUCUCACAAAUGUAUUAAUGCCAUUAUUGUGAAAGUAGGUUGGUUAUCGUGGGAGUGGUUUCCUAGGUGAGUUUGGCCAGCUCCCUCCGUCUGGUAUGCUUGUUUGCCCUUCUACUUUCUUCCAUAGGAUGACUCAGCAUGAAGGUAUUCCCCAGAUGCCAGUGCCAUGCUCUUGGCUUUCUCAGUCUCCAGAACCAUGAACCAAAUAAACUUCUGCUCAUUAUAAAUUACUCAGACUCAGGCAAUCUGUUACAGUAGCAGAAAAUAGACUAAGGCAAUAAUUUAACACAGAACUCAGUGAAGAUAAAAAUAAAAUCAUCUACCAGUACACACUUAAUGGAAUGGCCAAAACCUAGAACAUUGACAAUACCAAACACAGGCCAGAAUGUGAAACAACAGGAGUUGUCAUUCAUUGCUGGUAGAAAUGAAAAAUGGCACAGCCACUUUGGGAGAAAGUUCAGUAGUUUCUUUUACAAAACGAAAUACAUCCUUACCAUAUAAUCCAAUAAUCAAAUUCUUUGGUAUUUACCCAAAGACGUUGAAAACUUAUGUUUACACAAAAACCUGCACACAGAUGAUUAUAGUAGUUUUAUGUAUAAUUUCAAAAACUUGAGAACAACCAAGAUGUCCUUCAGUAAGGGAAUGGGAUAAACUAGUACAUCCAGACGAUGAAUUUACUAAUGAAAACUUUACUUUUCAAGUCAUGAAAAAAACAUGGAGGAGCCUCGAAUGCAUAUUACUAAGUGAAAGAAGCCAAUCUGAAAAGGCCACAUACUGUGUGAUUCCAACUAUAUAACAUUUUGGAAAAGGUGAAAUUAUAGAGAUAGUAAAAAGAUCAACGGCUUCCAGGGGUUAGGGAUGGGGAAGAUAAAAAUAGGUGGACCUCAGAGAAUUUUUGGGGCAGUAAAAAUACUCUGUAUGAUAGUAUACUGAUGGUCAUUAUACAUUUUUUCCAAACCCAAAGACUGUACAACACCAGAGUGAACCCUAAAUAAACUAUAGACUUUGCGUGAUUGUGAUGUGUCCGUGUAAGUUGAUCAGUUGUAACAAAUGCACCACUUUGGUGGGGAUGUGGAUAAUGGGAAAUGUUAUGCACGGGAGGGCAGGGGGUAUAUGGGAAAUCUCUGUAACUUCAUCUUGAUUUUGCUAUAAACCUACAAGUGCUCUAGUGCUUUAAAAAAUAAUGUUUUUAAAAUAAAAUAAAGUUAUCUGAGAAUAAAUAAUACCCAGUGAUGAUAAUAUUACAUUGAUGAUGCAUGUUUACAAUGAUGAUAAUAUUUACAUAGAACGUACUAAAAAGAAUCCUGAAUCUAGUCUCUACUUCCUAUUCAUUAAAGAACUAGUGAUA